Molecule: RNA transcript, 2895 nt
Organism: Syngnathoides biaculeatus (alligator pipefish)
Lineage: Eukaryota; Metazoa; Chordata; Actinopteri; Syngnathiformes; Syngnathidae
Gene name: cyclin-dependent kinase-like 1
Exons: 11
Source: RefSeq, a predicted model, not a curated record
UCGUCGACCGUUUGUUACUUUGUGUGUAAGUGGUUGACUGCGUCGUUUCGCGCACAGAACACAUAAGAAACCAAACUGAAGUGAGAGGAGAGGGUUGGACGGACGAGCGAGAGGCAGACGGAGCCGAGGGAGACACCGACGCGGGGGGAAGUUAGAAGACUGUCGGUGGUCGUGAAGUCAUCCACAAGCUCGCUGUGGACCUGUCAAUGCAUUGGACAGGGGUUAGUGAGUCACCGCACGAUGGAGAAAUAUGAGAAACUGGCUAAAAUAGGAGAAGGUUCUUAUGGCGUGGUGUUCAAGUGUAGAAAUAGAGACACGGACCAAAUCGUCGCCAUCAAAAAGUUUGUGGAAUCAGAAGACGAUCCCAUUAUCAAGAAGAUUGCGCUGAGGGAAAUACGGAUGCUGAAGCAGCUGAAACACGUCAAUCUAGUCAACCUGCUGGAGGUGUUCCGCAGGAAACGCCGCCUCCACCUCGUCUUUGAGUUCUGCGAGCAGACGGUCCUCAACGAGCUUGAAAAACACCCUCGAGGGAUUCCCGAGGCUCAGCUGAAGAGCAUCGUGUGGCAGACGCUACAGGCGGUCAACUUCUGCCACAAGCACAAUUGUAUCCACCGUGACGUCAAACCUGAGAAUAUCCUCCUCACCAAGACUGGAGUCAUCAAGUUGUGCGACUUUGGGUUCGCUCGCAUUCUGACUGGACCUGAUGACGACUACACGGACUACGUGGCAACCCGCUGGUAUAGGGCUCCAGAGCUGUUGGUCGGGGACACUCAAUACGGACCUGCCGUCGAUGUUUGGGCACUAGGAUGCGUCUUUUCUGAGCUCCUUAGUGGGAAUCCGCUCUGGCCAGGAAAGUCCGACGUGGACCAGCUCUACCUCAUCCGUAAAACUCUCGGGGACCUCAUCCCUCGACACCAGCAGGUGUUCCGGUCUAAUGUUUUCUUCAGUGGAGUCAGUAUUCCUGAACCUGACACCACGGAAACUCUGGAAAAGCGAUUCGCUGGUGCGGCAUCCCAGGCUCUCCAAGUCAUGAAGACCGAGUACGAAAACUGUCUUCGAUGGAUCAAACUUUGUGGAAGAUCGCAUGAUCAACUGAAUCCAUCUAAAAUCAACCGGAACAGAUAUGUUUGCACAAAGGCUGUCAUGCGAGGAGCUGCUGGUACUGCCCUACAUCCAUGAGGAGGGUGCUGCGGGCCGGCCCCGCGAGGGGGAAAAUCGUCCCGGGAGACGCCACGACAAAGGCCCCCGGCGCAGACAGACAGGCGCUCAAUACCUGCCACAGUUAACAAACACCAACAUGUCACCUGCGCCGGACACCAAGAAGCCGGCCAAGCACAAGUAUCACCUGCCGAACAUUUAGCCAAUGACCAGCAGCCAUCUUCUUCUUCGUGUGGGAGUGAUUAUUUAUUUUUUUCCACGUCUGUUGUGAACCAAAACUUGACAAACAAGCAAGCUUUGGAUGUUCCCCCUUGAAUAAAGUGGAAAAAAAAUUACCAGUGAAGGUGGGCAAGAAGAGCCACAGUCGCCGAUGCACUUUCAGACGUGUAUGGAACAAGAAAAACGCUCCGUCAUAACAAUUCUGAAAUGAGAACACACUCAAGGAGCUGCUGUAGGUCACAACUCACACCCAGAUGCUCACAUUCCACUAACAGAUUACAGAUCCCAAUCCCCUGACUAAGGCAGACAUGAAAGCUACUGUCUGUGCAGUAAAUACACUUUUUAAAAACAGUUUAUUUUUUCUAUUCUCUUUUAUUAUGAUUUCAACAAUACAGUGCUAUUUUUCUUUAUUAAAGAUUUAAUUAUUUUUUGUAGGUGAUUGGACUUCAAUUGUGACACUUAAUUUGAGUAAAUUGAGUUAUGGGCAUUGUCACAAAAGGAAUUAAACUCAUAAAUCAAGGUACCGUGCUGUAUGCUUGUGGUGCUUUCAGGAAAUGCACCUGAAAUCUGGCGAUGGUACAUUUAGCUGUAUCGUUAGUCACCAAGAAUGCUAUAAUGUCAUGAUCCAAUCAUUAAGUUUGAUUAUAAAUGUUAUAUUUUUAAUGCACUGAAUGUUUACUAGAGAUGACAUCUUAUAAAUCUACAACUUAUCCUGAAGUUUAUAUAGUUUUAAUAAAAUCUAUCCAAUUGAGAUAUUUUUUUUCUCGCUAUAGACAAUAAUUCUAUUUUUUUGAGAUUAUAAUAAUCAUUCUUAUUGUUAAUUUACAGAGCCCAGACAUCACGUAAAUAUAGAUACAACUUUUGCAAAAUACUAAUUUAUUGCCAUUCAAAUAGUCAAUUAUGGCUAUAAAAUACAUAAUUUGUGGCCACAAAUUUGGUAUAAUGUGCACAGAAAUUACAAAUAGUAUCACUGUGCUAUUAUUGCUGAACAAUUGACUCAGCAAAUGGGGUGAAAUGUGUUUUGUUAUGGAGUAAGGCCUCUGCCCCAAGCUAGCUUUUAGAGUUAGUAGCUGCCCGCAACCCCUCACACUGGUGUUGGGGCCGUCCAACUCGCCAUGGCCCCACCCCUUGCAGGCCAAGACAACAGAGACACUUCCUGGGACGAUACAGUAACUGACUUUUAUGUGGGCUAGCACGCGAGUUAACAAUCUCUCCGUCACUAUUUUGCAUUGUGUUUCCACACAGUUCUGUAGAUGGAGAGGGGGCUCUCUUUUUCACAUUUUGGAUCCUCAUAUUAUCCAUCCAUUUUCUUAGCCGCUUAUCCUCACAAGGGUCACAGGAAGUGCUGGAGCCUAUCCUAGUGUCAACGGGGAGGAGGAAGUGUACACCCUGAACUGAUUGCCAGCUAAUUGCAGGGCAUAUUGAGACAGAGAACAGUUGUACUCACAAUCACACCUCGAGUCAAUUUAGAGUGUCCAAUUAAUGUUGCGUGUUUUGGAGAUAUGGGAGGAAACCGGA